GGGGGGAUGGGAACGGGGAGGUCCUGGGCCUUGUGCUGGUCCCAGUUCUGGUUCCAUUCCUGGUCCUACCACC
Non-coding RNA from Turdus rufiventris (rufous-bellied thrush), 73 nucleotides. The record is from the annotation of a GenBank genome assembly. Lineage: Eukaryota; Metazoa; Chordata; Aves; Passeriformes; Turdidae.